RNAcentral lists this long non-coding RNA (928 nucleotides) under Triticum aestivum (bread wheat). Its description in RNAcentral is "long non-coding RNA (TAES_LNC027222)". The record is from RNAcentral. Lineage: Eukaryota; Viridiplantae; Streptophyta; Magnoliopsida; Poales; Poaceae.
UGCUACAGGUAGAAUCCACACGUAAAACUAAUCAUGUUGCUACAGAAGUGUAGAAGCAUUGUGGUGAUCGUCAAGCUCAUGCUAGGUGACUCGCUCUGGCAGCCAUUGUGGGAACACUUUAUCAUUGCCGACCAAACAAUAUCGUCCACUGCAAGACCGUGGACAAAGCCUCCGCCGUGCUUGCAAGUCAGGCACUAUCCGUCGGGGAGCUCGGCAAGGCAUGUACCACUAGCUAAAUGUCCGCCAUUUGCACUGCAAAAAUUCAAGAUCAUAGCAAGAGGUUAGUAUUAAUGCUGCCUUUCUCGGGUGAAUGGCAAAAAGAAUCGGUCGAGUAUUUGCCGAGAAGAUAAGAGAUGGCUACUUACCAAAUCUUAGUUGAGGAUGUAACCUGAAAAAAUAAACUAACAAGGGGGACUCCACAAAAAUAAUCACUAUGACCAUUAUAAACCAGAGAACACAUACAGCCACAAUAUGAAGGAUCACUCAAUAGCAGCAAGAGAAUCAUAUGAGAACUACAAUCUUAUUGGCAAACAGUUAGACAUUUCCACAGUAGUACUGCAUCUUCAUGUCUUCUCCAACAAAAGCAGUACAGAACAAGAAACAAACUGUGUAAGAUCUUAUCCGUUAAUUGAUUAUGAUUCAGGCAAAGGAAAACUCGGAACAGGCAUGUAAGAUGAUACAUAAUCAUUCAGACUAGAAACAAGCAUCCACCUAAUCAAUCGAGUGACUGAUGACGACUUGUACAAUACAAGGUAUAAAAAAUGUUUAUAAGCACGAUUCCUCCAGACAAACAUGUGCAACUGAACGAGCAUCUGACCCUAAUUAUAAACAUAAGCGAAUGCAAAUAAAAAUGAAUAUACACCAAACUUGGGAUAAUAUAUAUUUUCUAAGCUUGGCAGAAUAUUGCCUAUAUAAUAUCUACAGAGAG